GUGAGGAAUUUUGCGCAAUGGGGGCAACCCUGACGCAGCGACGCCGCGUGGAGGACGAAGUCUUUCGGGAUGUAAACUCCUGUCAGUGGGGACGAUAAUGACGGUACCCACAGAGGAAGCACCGGCUAACUCCGUGCCAGCAGCCGCGGUAAGACGGAGGGUGCAAGCGUUGUUCGGAAUUACUGGGCGUAAAGCGUAUGUAGGCGGCAAGUUAAGUUCAAUGUUAAAGCCCACGGCUCAACCGAGGAGAUGCAUUGAAUACUGGCUAGCUAGAGGGUGUUAGAGGAAGACGGAAUUCCCAGUGUAGCGGUGAAAUGCGUAGAUAUUGGGAGGAACAUCGGUAGCGAAAGCGGUCUUCUGGGACACACCUGACGCUGAGGUACGAAAGCGUGGGGAGCAAACAGGAUUAGAUACCCCAGUAGUCC
This 425-nucleotide ribosomal RNA is filed under the name uncultured bacterium. RNAcentral describes it as "bacterial SSU rRNA". It matches the Rfam family "Bacterial small subunit ribosomal RNA", at positions 354 to 796 of the family's 1533-position model. The record is from RNAcentral.